GAAAGGGGGCUUCGGCUCUCGCCGGAUGAGGGGUCCGCGUCCCAUCAGCUUGAUGGUGAGGUAAUGGCUUACCAUGGCUAAGACGGGUAGCUGGUCUGAGAGGAUGAUCAGCCACACUGGGACUGAGACACGGCCCAGACUCCUACGGGAGGCAGCAGUGGGGAAUAUUGGACAAUGGGCGAAAGCCUGAUCCAGCCACGCCGCGUGUGUGAUGAAGGCCUUCGGGUCGUAAAGCACUGUGGGGAGAGACGAAAAGCCGUCGGUUAAUACCCGGCGGUCUUGACGGUAUCUCUUUAGCAAGCACCGGCUAACUCCGUGCCAGCAGCCGCGGUAAUACGGAGGGUGCAAACGUUGCUCGGAAUUAUUGGGCGUAAAGCGCGUGUAGGCGGUAGGUUAAGUCGGAUGUGAAAGCCCUGGGCUCAACCCGGGAAGUGCGUUCGAUACUGGCCCACUUGAGUACGGGAGAGGGUAGCGGAAUUCCCGGUGUAGAGGUGAAAUUCGUAGAUAUCGGGAGGAACACCAGUGGCGAAGGCGGCUACCUGGACCGAUACUGACGCUGAGACGCG
This 566-nucleotide ribosomal RNA is filed under the name uncultured bacterium. Its description in RNAcentral is "bacterial SSU rRNA". It matches the Rfam family "Bacterial small subunit ribosomal RNA", at positions 202 to 755 of the family's 1533-position model. The record is from RNAcentral.